This 568-nucleotide ribosomal RNA is filed under the name uncultured bacterium. Its description in RNAcentral is "partial 16S ribosomal RNA". It matches the Rfam family "Bacterial small subunit ribosomal RNA", at positions 355 to 914 of the family's 1533-position model. The record is from RNAcentral.
UGGGGAAUAUUGGACAAUGGGCGCAAGCCUGAUCCAGCCAUACCGCGUGGGUGAAGAAGGCCUUCGGGUUGUAAAGCCCUUUUGUUGGGAAAGAAAUCCAGCCGGCUAAUACCUGGUUGGGAUGACGGUACCCAAAGAAUAAGCACCGGCUAACUUCGUGCCAGCAGCCGCGGUAAUACGAAGGGUGCAAGCGUUACUCGGAAUUACUGGGCGUAAAGCGUGCGUAGGUGGUCGUUUAAGUCCGUUGUGAAAGCCCUGGGCUCAACCUGGGAACUGCAGUGGAUACUGGGCGACUAGAGUGUGGUAGAGGGUAGCGGAAUUCCUGGUGUAGCAGUGAAAUGCGUAGAGAUCAGGAGGAACAUCCAUGGCGAAGGCAGCUACCUGGACCAACACUGACACUGAGGCACGAAAGCGUGGGGAGCAAACAGGAUUAGAUACCCUGGUAGUCCACGCCCUAAACGAUGCGAACUGGAUGUUGGGUGCAAUUUGGCACGCAGUAUCGAAGCUAACGCGUUAAGUUCGCCGCCUGGGGAGUACGGUCGCAAGACUGAAACUUAAAUGAAUUGAC